UUGGUUACUUAGCUUGAAUGCAAC
Molecule: non-coding RNA, 24 nt
Filed under: Arabidopsis thaliana (thale cress)
Lineage: Eukaryota; Viridiplantae; Streptophyta; Magnoliopsida; Brassicales; Brassicaceae
Source: RNAcentral